RNAcentral lists this ribosomal RNA (492 nucleotides) under uncultured bacterium. Its description in RNAcentral is "partial 16S ribosomal RNA". It matches the Rfam family "Bacterial small subunit ribosomal RNA", at positions 29 to 507 of the family's 1533-position model. The record is from RNAcentral.
AGUGAACGCUGGCGGUAGGCCUAACACAUGCAAGUCGAACGGCAGCACAGUAAGAGCUUGCUCUUACGGGUGGCGAGUGGCGGACGGGUGAGGAAUACAUCGGAAUCUACUUUUUCGUGGGGGAUAACGUAGGGAAACUUACGCUAAUACCGCAUACGACCUACGGGUGAAAGCAGGGGAUCUUCGGACCUUGCGCGAUUGAAUGAGCCGAUGUCGGAUUAGCUAGUUGGCGGGGUAAAGGCCCACCAAGGCGACGAUCCGUAGCUGGUCUGAGAGGAUGAUAAGCCACAUUGGAACUGAGACACGGUCCAGACUCCUACGGGAGGCAGCAGUGGGGAAUAUUGGACAAUGGGCGCAAGCCUGAUCCAGCCAUACCGCGUGGGUGAAGAAGGCCUUCGGGUUGUAAAGCCCUUUUGUUGGGAAAGAAAAGCAGCAGGUUAAUACCCCGCUGUUCUGACGGUACCCAAAGAAUAAGCACCGGCUAGCUUCGUG